CCUACGGGCGGCAGCAGUAGGGAAUCUUCCACAAUGGGCGAAAGCCUGAUGGAGCAACGCCGCGUGGGUGAUGAAGGUCUUCGGAUCGUAAAACCCUGUUGUUAGAGAAGAAAGUGCGUGUGAGUAACUGUUCACGUCUCGACGGUAUCUAACCAGAAGGCCCGGGCUAACUACGUGCCAGCAGCCGCGGUAAUACGGAGGUGGCAAGCGUUAUCCGGAUUUAUUGGGCGUAAAGGGAACGCAGGCGGUCUUGUAAGUCUGAUGUGAAAGCCUUCGGCUUAACCAGAGGAGUGCAUUGGAAACUGGGAGACUUGAGUGCGGAAGAGGUGGGUGGAACUCCAUGUGUAGCGGUGAAAUGCGUAGAUAUAUGGAAGAACACCAAUGGCGAAAGCGGCUAGCUGGACUGUAACUGACGCUGAGGUUCGAAAGCGUGGGUAGCAAACAGGAUUAGAUACCCUAGUAGUC
This 465-nucleotide ribosomal RNA is filed under the name uncultured bacterium. RNAcentral's name for it is "partial 16S ribosomal RNA". It matches the Rfam family "Bacterial small subunit ribosomal RNA", at positions 338 to 795 of the family's 1533-position model. The record is from RNAcentral.